CACACCCACACAAGCAGCGACUGAGCGUCAUCACAGGUCCAAGGUGGUUGUUGGUUGCAAUGGCCGGCUGCGGAGGGAAGGAUGGCCUGUACGCCGUGCUCGGCGUCUCCAGCGACUGCUCCGAUGCGGAGCUGCGCAGCGCCUACAGGAAGCUCGCCAUGAAAUGGCACCCGGACAAAUGCGGCUCCGGCGGCGUGGAGGCCGCCAAAGCAAGGUUCCACAAGAUCCAGGCAGCAUACGCAGUUCUGUCGGAUCCCAACAAGCGUAUCCUCUACGACGUUGGUGCGGCAAAUUUGAUAAAUUUGAUCCAUAGACGAAAUUAAAUCACAGAAUGAACUGUCUGUGAAACUAUUUCACGCGGCUGACCCGUGGCGCCUAGCUCUCAGGCGCUGCACUAGUGCAACGCGUAGGAGCUAGGCGCUGCACUAGUGCAAUGCCUAGGAGCUAGGCGCUACACUGUAUAGUGUGGCGCCUAGCUCUCAGACGCUGCACACUGACUUAGUAAUUUUCGGAUCACACGGGUGCGACGCUGGCCGUGUAGCGCCUAUCUGUGAGGCGUUGCACAGUGUAGUGUGGCGCCUUCGUGUGAGGCGUCACACAAAAAGGUCAGCCGCGUGAAAUAGUUUUACGGACAGUUUAUUUUGUGAUUUGAUUUCGUUCAUAGGUCAAAUUUGUCAAAUUUGCCAGUUGGUGCCUACCACAGCGACGGCGACGAUGAGGGUGCUGGAGACAUACUGGGAGACAUCCUGGAGGCCAUGAACCACACACCUCCACACGUAAGUAAUCACUUCCAACUCAACUCACACUGCCGCUUAUGGUUAUAGUAGAUAUCAUGGAGGUUUUUACAGAGCAGAGCAGAGCACUACUUACUUAUUUGUUGUUUAAUGGCGUUUCUCCUCCGGUGCUCCCCCCCCCCCCCCCCCCCGGCUGAACGCGAGGGGGAGAAACAUAAGGACGGCUGAGAUCUGUCAAAAACGAUUCGUGAAGAGGGGCACGAUCGUCUUUUUAUGCCCGCGUAGAGCCCUAUACGAGCCCGCACCGGCCCGAUUACUUUUGGAUGCUGAGGGUAUACAUGUAUUGUACGUGGGCGUUUCGUUUUCCCUUGUCACGUGCGGCGGUCGUGGGCUAGCCACGCGGCCAUGCGACGCACGAAAACUUCCAAAAACGUCCCAUCCUAUAAAAGGGAGGGGAACCACCACCGGCCGCAUCGCCCCCACCAUUUUCCCCCAAAUCGGCUCACUCCCUCUCUCCUUGCCGCAUCGUCUCCCCCUCGUCUCCAUCGCCCCGCCACCACACCUACUCGCUCAACCCCACCGCCUCCCUCUCUCCGGCGGGUUCUCUUAGGCUUCGAUGGCGCAAGGUCGUGGCGCUGCCGCCGCUACGCACGGAGUUGCGGUCGAGGCCGCGAACACCGUGGCAGAUGGCGUCCAAGAAGUGGCCGCUGUCGGCGGUGCGGGAGAUGAUGCACCCGCAGUCGUUGGAUCGGUCGCUGCGGCGGCGGAUCUGGUGGAGCAAGGGGUGGUGGGCUCGGACUCCGUCGUGCCGGACCUGGUGGUGACGGCGUCUGGCGACGCACUGGAUGUAGGUGCGUAGGCGAGCGACAAGCAGGUGGUGGAUGUGAAUGAGGAAGAUGCUGGCAACAAGAGGAAGCUGGACAUCGCUAGGUUCGACGACCCGUCUGAUUCUGACGACGACGAGGAGUACAACUCUGGAGAUGAGGUGGAAGAGUGGAACCACAAGUCCUUCAUUGAGCAUGAAGCCAACAAGAUCAGGGAGAAGGGGAAGGCGGCGUACUACAAGUGGGGCAAGUUCAGGUGCCCAUACUGCACCACUAAGCCAAUUCCCAAGGAUGGGCUGUAUGAGCACCUUAUGUCGCAUGCACGCGGUUUAGCGAAGAGUGG
Triticum aestivum (bread wheat) is the source of this 1901-nucleotide RNA transcript. It is a transcript of the gene named chaperone protein DnaJ, with no coding region annotated. Lineage: Eukaryota; Viridiplantae; Streptophyta; Magnoliopsida; Poales; Poaceae. The record is from RefSeq and is a predicted model, not a curated record. The transcript is spliced from 6 exons.